This is a long non-coding RNA of Centruroides sculpturatus (bark scorpion), 556 nucleotides long. RefSeq lists it as uncharacterized. NCBI's taxonomy places the organism in Eukaryota, Metazoa, Arthropoda, Arachnida, Scorpiones, Buthidae. The transcript is spliced from 2 exons. The record is from RefSeq and is a predicted model, not a curated record.
UCAAAGAGAGCAACGUUAUCUGGUAUCCAAACCAGUAUAGUUUCACAUUCAGUUUUGGUUUUAAUUUCUCUGUUUGAUUGUUUUGCUCUUUUUCCUUUAUCAGUGACUGCAGCGAGAAUAUAAAAUCUUGAUUUUUGUAAUUGUCCACUAUUGGAGCAUAUCGAAAACAUAACAGGACAAAGAGUAGAGAAUAUAUUUAUGUAAACAGUGGGACAAUCAGAAAGUCUUUUCUGACCACACCGCUCUGGCCACGGAUGUUCAUUUUGGCCAAUACGCACACUUCAUCGCCUCGGUUAGUAUGGACAGGACACUAAAAAUUUACGGCAUAUGAUGUCAAGAAUAAUGAACAUAAAAAACUAGGUUAGACUGCGUCGUCACAGCCAAAAUGUUUACAUGAAUUAAUACACCUUUCUGUUAUGUAACGUCGUCAUUAUGCAAGUUUUUGUGAAAUUUAUAAUAAAUCCAUUUAUUAAAAAAUAAAAGCUCUUUCUUAUAAUUUAAUUGUUUUAUUCUUUAAAAAGUAAUCUUAUUUGAUAUUAAACAAUUUGAAUAUUUU